Molecule: ribosomal RNA, 464 nt
Filed under: uncultured bacterium
Lineage: Bacteria
Description: bacterial SSU rRNA
Rfam family: Bacterial small subunit ribosomal RNA
Source: RNAcentral
CCUANGGGGGGCUGCAGUCGAGGAUCUUCUGCAAUGGGCGCAAGCCUGACAGAGCGACGCCGCGUGGAGGAUGAAGGCCUUCGGGUUGUAAACUCCUGUCAUUGGGGAACAAAGCUUCCGGUUAACUGCCAAAAAGCCUGAUAGUACCCGAAGAGGAAGAGACGGCUAACUCUGUGCCAGCAGCCGCGGUAAUACAGAGGUCUCAAGCGUUGUUCGGAUUCAUUGGGCGUAAAGGGUGCGUAGGCGGCGGAGUAAGUCGGAUGUGAAAUCCCGGGGCUCAACCCCGGAACUGCACUCGAUACUGCUCUGCUUGAGUACUGGAGAGGAGACUGGAAUUUACGGUGUAGCAGUGAAAUGCGUAGAUAUCGUAAGGAAGACCAGUGGCGAAGGCGAGUCUCUGGACAGUUACUGACGCUGAGGCACGAAGGCCAGGGGAGCAAACGGGAUUAGAUACCCCGNUANUC